AUUGAACGCUGGCGGCAUGCCUUACACAUGCAAGUCGAACGGCAGCAUGGAGAGCUUGCUCUCUGAUGGCGAGUGGCGAACGGGUGAGUAAAGCAUCGGAACGUACCGUGUAAUGGGGGAUAACGUAGCGAAAGUUACGCUAAUACCGCAUACGACCUGAGGGUGAAAGCAGGGGAUCGCAAGACCUUGCGUUAUACGAGCGGCCGAUGUCAGAUUAGCUAGUUGGUAGGGUAAAGGCCUACCAAGGCGACGAUCUGUAGCGGGUCUGAGAGGAUGAUCCGCCACACUGGGACUGAGACACGGCCCAGACUCCUACGGGAGGCAGCAGUGGGGAAUUUUGGACAAUGGGGGCAACCCUGAUCCAGCCAUGCCGCGUGAGUGAAGAAGGCCUUCGGGUUGUAAAGCACUUUUAUCAGGAACGAAAAGCGUUGGAUUAAUACUCUGACGUGCUGACGGUACCUGAGGAAUAAGCACCGGCUAACUUCGUG
Molecule: ribosomal RNA, 488 nt
Filed under: uncultured bacterium
Lineage: Bacteria
Description: bacterial SSU rRNA
Rfam family: Bacterial small subunit ribosomal RNA
Source: RNAcentral